UGGGGAAUUUUGCACAAUGGGGGAAACCCUGAUGCAGCGACGCCUCGUGAUUUAGAAGGCCUUCGGGUUGUAACAAUCUUUUCUAUGGGAAGAAAAUGACAGUACCAUAGGAAUAAGGACCGGCUAAUUACGUGCCAGCAGCCGCGGUAAUACGUAAGGUCCGAGCGUUGUCCGGAAUCAUUGGGCGUAAAGGGUACGUAGGCGGGUAAGCAAGUUAGAAGUGAAAUCCUAUAGCUCAACUAUAGUAAGCUUUUAAAACUGCUCAUCUUGGGGUAUGGAAGGGAAAGUGGAAUUCCUAGUGUAGCGGUGAAAUGCGCAGAUAUUAGGAGGAAUACCGGUGGCGAAGGCGACUUUCUGGCCAUAACCUGACGCUGAGGUACGAAAGCGUGGGUAGCAAACAGG
RNAcentral lists this ribosomal RNA (402 nucleotides) under Fusobacteriota bacterium. RNAcentral's name for it is "Fusobacteria bacterium partial 16S ribosomal RNA". It matches the Rfam family "Bacterial small subunit ribosomal RNA", at positions 355 to 776 of the family's 1533-position model. The record is from RNAcentral. Lineage: Bacteria; Fusobacteriati; Fusobacteriota.